Molecule: ribosomal RNA, 496 nt
Filed under: uncultured bacterium
Lineage: Bacteria
Description: partial 16S ribosomal RNA
Rfam family: Bacterial small subunit ribosomal RNA
Source: RNAcentral
GACGAACGCUGACGGCGUGCCUAAUACAUGCAAGUAGAACGCUGAAGCGAGGAGCUUACUCUUCUUGGAUGAGUUGCGAACGGGUGAGUAACGCGUAGGUAACCUGCCUUGUAGCGGGGGAUAACUAUUGGAAACGAUAGCUAAUACCGCAUAACAAUGGAUGACACAUGUCAUUUAUUUGAAAGGGGCAAUUGCUCCACUACAAGAUGGACCUGCGUUGUAUUAGCUAGUAGGUGAGGUAAUGGCUCACCUAGGCGACGAUACAUAGCCGACCUGAGAGGGUGAUCGGCCACACUGGGACUGAGACACGGCCCAGACUCCUACGGGAGGCAGCAGUAGGGAAUCUUCGGCAAUGGGGGCAACCCUGACCGAGCAACGCCGCGUGAGUGAAGAAGGUGUUCGGAUCGUAAAGCUCUGUUGUAAGUCAAGAACGGGUGUGAGAGUGGAAAGUUCACACUGUGACGGUAGCUUACCAGAAAGGGACGGCUAACUACGU